AAAGUUUGAUCCUGGCUCAUKYGAACGCUGGCGGYGUGCUUAUCAUAUGCAWSUCGAACRUUGAASUCCUUCGGGAUGGAUUARUGGCGCACGGGKGAKUAAUAUAUAGUUAAUGUACCUUCAAGACUGGGAUAGCCACUGGAAACGGUGAUUAAUACUAGAUAUACCUCUUUAACAUAAGUUARAGUGGKAAAUGUWUUUUCGCUUGARGAUCARACUAUAUCCCAUCAGUUUGUUGGUGAGGUAAUGGCUCACCAAGGCAAUGACGGGWAGCGGGUUURARAGGAUGAUCCGCCACACUGGUACUGAGACACGGACCAGACUCCUASGGGAGGCAGCAGUGAGGAAUAUUGCAYACUGGGGGAAACCCUGAUGCAGCAACGCCGCGUGGAGGAUGACKCAUUUCGGUGUGWAAACUCCUUUUAUGAGUCAAGAAAAUGACGGUAGCUCAUGAAUAAGCACCGGCUAACUCCGUGCCAGCAGCCGCGGUAAUACGGAGGGUGCAAGCGUUACUCGGAAUCACUGGGCGUAAAGGACGCGUAUGCGGGUUGGUAAGUCAGAUGUGAAAUCCUACAGCUCAACUGURGAACUGCAUUUGAAACUACCGACCUAGAGUAUGGGGAGGGGGAGAUGGAAUUAGUGGUGUAGGGGUAAAAUCCGUAGAUAUCAYUAGGGAAUACCAAARGCGAAGGCGAUCUCCUGGRAACUUUACUGACGCUAARGCGUGRAACCGUGGGGASCAAACAGGAAUAGAUACCYUGG
Molecule: ribosomal RNA, 762 nt
Filed under: uncultured bacterium
Lineage: Bacteria
Description: partial 16S ribosomal RNA
Rfam family: Bacterial small subunit ribosomal RNA
Source: RNAcentral